UACGUAGGGGGCAAGCGUUGUCCGGAAUCAUUGGGCGUAAAGAGCGUGUAGGCGGUCCGGUAAGUCGGUUGUGAAAGCCCAGGGCUCAACCCUGGGAUGCCGACCGAUACUGUCGGACUAGAGUUCGGAAGAGGCGAGUGGAAUUCCCGGUGUAGCGGUGAAAUGCGCAGAUAUCGGGGGGAACACCUAUGGCGAAGGCAGCUCGCUGGGACGUUACUGACGCUGAGACGCGAAAGCGUGGGGAGCAAACAGG
Molecule: ribosomal RNA, 253 nt
Filed under: uncultured bacterium
Lineage: Bacteria
Description: partial 16S ribosomal RNA
Rfam family: Bacterial small subunit ribosomal RNA
Source: RNAcentral